Molecule: ribosomal RNA, 253 nt
Filed under: uncultured bacterium
Lineage: Bacteria
Description: partial 16S ribosomal RNA
Rfam family: Bacterial small subunit ribosomal RNA
Source: RNAcentral
UACGUAGGGCGCAAGCGUUAUCCGGAAUUAUUGGGCGUAAAGAGCUCGUAGGCGGUUUGUCGCGUCUGCCGUGAAAGUCCGGGGCUCAACUCCGGAUCUGCGGUGGGUACGGGCAGACUAGAGUGAUGUAGGGGAGACUGGAAUUCCUGGUGUAGCGGUGAAAUGCGCAGAUAUCAGGAGGAACACCGAUGGCGAAGGCAGCUCACUGGGACGGUACUGACGCUGAGGCGCGAAAGCCAGGGGAGCGAACGGG